This 109-nucleotide ribosomal RNA is filed under the name Colobus angolensis palliatus. The record is from RNAcentral. Lineage: Eukaryota; Metazoa; Chordata; Mammalia; Primates; Cercopithecidae.
GUCUGUGGCCAUAUCACCCUGAACACACCUGAUCUUAUCUGAUCUUGGAAACUCAACAGCGUCAGGCUUGGUUAGUGGAUGGGAAACGAAUAUACUUGAGUUGGAGGGA